GACGAACGCUGGCGGCGUGCUUAACACAUGCAAGUCGAACGGUGAAGCGCCUUCCUUUUUGGUGGGUGUGGAUGAGUGGCGAACGGGUGAGUAACACGUGAGUAACCUGCCCCCUUCUUCUGGAUAAGCGCAUGAAAGUGUGGCUAAUACGGGAUAUUCUGGGUCUGUCGCAUGAUGGGUCUGGGAAAGAUAUUGUUUCGGUGGGGGAUGGGCUCGCGGCCUAUCAGCUUGUUGGUGGGGUGAUGGCCUACCAAGGCGGUGACGGGUAGCCGGCCUGAGAGGGUGGACGGUCACACUGGGACUGAGACACGGCCCAGACUCCUACGGGAGGCAGCAGUGGGGAAUAUUGCACAAUGGGCGCAAGCCUGAUGCAGCGACGCCGCGUGAGGGAUGGAGGCCUUCGGGUUGUGAACCUCUUUCGCCAGUGAAGCAGGCCUGCCUCGUUUGUGGGUGGGUUGACGGUAGCUGGAUAAGAAGCGCCGGCUAACUACGUG
Molecule: ribosomal RNA, 494 nt
Filed under: uncultured bacterium
Lineage: Bacteria
Description: partial 16S ribosomal RNA
Rfam family: Bacterial small subunit ribosomal RNA
Source: RNAcentral